RNAcentral lists this long non-coding RNA (999 nucleotides) under Dromaius novaehollandiae (emu). RNAcentral describes it as "lncRNA (ENSDNVG00000016555.1)". Lineage: Eukaryota; Metazoa; Chordata; Aves; Casuariiformes; Dromaiidae. The record is from RNAcentral.
UCAGGGAUGGGUGUCGCUAAAUUUUACACAUUUCUGUUUUGUCAGGCUUUUACGAGCUGCCUCUGUGCCGCAGGGAAGCGGUGACGGGGUCUCGGCGUCCGAGGGGAUCGACGAGGGAGCAGCUUCCCCGCCGCACGGAGGUGGGCAGCUAGGAACGGGCGCCCCGAGGCGCAGGGGAGCCGCUGGGCCCACCAACGGGGCCGCCCGGGGUUCCCGCACGGACAGGAGUCAACUAAUAAUAAUAAAGUUGAAUGUACCUGUAACAGACGCUCCGCGGUUGAACCUAACCUCAGGUUCGGCGGGGAGCAGAAGGGAGCUGAGGUAACGCGGUUCUGCAGCGGGGAGUUCGGGCCCGAACGCUUCAGUCUGGUGCGCGCCGAGUUUGGCAUCGACACGGCGUGCGAUGGGAGAAAACAGAUGGAAACGCAUCCAUGUGAAAAAUUGUCUCGAAGUUAAAGAGCACAAAGCACUUGCUGCAGCAUUAAAAAGUUUUCAGCAAGGAUUAGUGCACUGAGGUACCAGGCAUGUGAAAUCAAGGCAGCCUCAAGGCAAACAUCUGAGUAAUGGGACCAAAUCAGGCUCUGAAGGGUGAUCUCCAGACUUCGCAUGGAGCGUACGUCCCUCUGGCGAAAGCCCACAGCACAGAGCAAACACGUGUCCUUCUCCCCCACUCUAGACAAACUGUAGAUUUUUUUUUUUUUUUUUAAUUCCUUGGAUGAAAUUAGGCAGCCUCAUUUCUUUAUGCAAGAUGAAUGUGGGUCGUGAAUGCUGUAGUCUAAAUUAGAUUAUUUUUAAAUUCCAUUUAAUCAUUAAACUGGUACUGGAAAGGAUACUUUUCUUUAAACAUUAAUCUCAGUGUGACUGAGUACAUGGCUGACUUCCCAAAUUAAGAUACUGUCCAGAAAAUUAAGCACGUCCUCUUCUCACUGUAGCAAGACAUAGCAAUGUCUAGGCUGAGAUUUGAAAUAAAAAACCAAGGUUUAAGUAUUGCUUUUGUCA